UUCUUCUUUAAUAGGCUUUGCAGUCCUAUAUAUGAAGGCACAAAAUCCAGAAGGCGGUCCACAGCACAUUUCUUUGUUGCUGGAUGUUAAAGAUUUUGCAACUGAUAGGAGAGGUUACAAUGCCCUCCCAGUAAAGUAAGCGAACUGAGUCAUGCACCUAAGAAUUGGGUGGGACAUCACACUGCCACCUAGACCGUGUCCCUGCUUCGAUGCAGGCAUCGUUGUACAGCUGGCAUAAGGUAGCCAUGACAGCUGAGGCUUGAGAACAAAAGUGACUGGUCCACGUAAUACAAUCUGCAAUCGUGGGCAGAACGCCAGGGUGUCAGCUCCUGAUGUACCUGUCAUUCUCUGUCCACCGUGGGCUGUCACCACGGAGGUGGCCACAAGUGAAGAGGAAGUGAAAUGGACAACUGGUUUCUCACGUCAGAUCUCCCGGGAAAGAAAAACCGUAUUUGGUUUCUUCGUGCACAGACAUGUCGACGAUGAUCCUCACACAGAAAAUUUUUGUUUUAUUCUCCAUUUUGAAAUAAUAGCCUAAUGAGGUACUCAGUCACCUGCACUCUGUAACAGCAACAAAUUUGAAGAGGUUUACUUUAAGAAGAGAAGCAUUUUAAGAGAUCACUUACAUUUUCUUACAGAUUUCUUAAGCAUAUUGGGUCUUCUCAAGCACCAUGCCUCAUUCUAGAAUGUCAGGAAAUACAAAGACGAAUUCCCAAAGGAAUGAGCCUUGAGCCAUUCUGACCCUAGCAGCAUAUUGUAGCAUUCUACCUUAUAAGUCUCACCACAGGUGAAAUCCCUCUUAGCAGCUGGCUUAUGAAAUAAUGUGAAGGGAGGCCUUAAUGAGCAGAAAGCACCCUCAGCUGGAGAUAAAUAUAUGCAAAUGAGAUGCACAAACAAAGGAGCCUGGACAGAGAAAUAUCUGCAAUUCCAGCAAAAUGCUGCCUGCAGCUCGAAGAUGAACAGCUUUGAUAAAAUGUGAGAAACAAUCCUCAUAUGUGCUGAUGACUCAAGCACACGAAUCGGCAACAAGCAAGUAGGAUAAAAAAUAGUUAAAAUGAAUCAACAUUUAUCUGGAAGAUACAGUCCUGACCCUAAAAAAAAAGAAAAAAAAAAAAGAGUCAUUUAUCUUCUGUGUCCUGUGAUGUUUUGAAGAUUCUGGCAAAUAUGGCAGUUAAACAAACUUCUCUCACAAUCUAAAUACUGUCUGUUCAAGAGAGGCUUCCAAUGUUUAUAGCUCAUAAGUAAA
Herpailurus yagouaroundi (jaguarundi) is the source of this 1246-nucleotide long non-coding RNA. RefSeq lists it as uncharacterized. The transcript is spliced from 3 exons. The record is from RefSeq and is a predicted model, not a curated record. Lineage: Eukaryota; Metazoa; Chordata; Mammalia; Carnivora; Felidae.